UUGCCAGACUCCUACGGGAGGCAGCAGUGGGGAAUUUUGGACAAUGGGCGCAAGCCUGAUCCAGCUAUUCCGCGUGUGGGAUGACGGCCCUCGGGUUGUAAACCACUUUAGUAGAGAACGAAAAGGAGCUAUCGAAUAAAUAGCUCUGCUGACGGUACUCUAAGAAUAAGUACCGGCUAACUACGUGCCAGCAGCCGCGGUAAUACGUAGGGUGCGAGCGUUAUCCGGAUUUAUUGGGUUUAAAGGGUGCGCAGGCGGAGGUGCAAGUCAGCGGUCAAAUUGCGGGGCUCAUCCCCGUACUGCCGUUGAAACUGCAUCCCUUGAGUGCGCGAGAAGUAUGCGGAAUGCGUGGUGUAGCGGUGAAAUGCAUAGAUAUCACGCAGAACUCCGAUUGCGAAGGCAGCAUACCGGCGCGCAACUGACGCUCAUGCACGAAAGCGUGGGUAUCGAACAGGAUUAGAUACCCGGGUA
This 471-nucleotide ribosomal RNA is filed under the name uncultured bacterium. Its description in RNAcentral is "bacterial SSU rRNA". It matches the Rfam family "Bacterial small subunit ribosomal RNA", at positions 328 to 792 of the family's 1533-position model. The record is from RNAcentral.